AUUGAACGCUGGCGGCAUGCCUUACACAUGCAAGUCGAACGGCAGCACGGGUGCUUGCACCUGGUGGCGAGUGGCGAACGGGUGAGUAAUACAUCGGAACGUACCUUAUCGUGGGGGAUAACGCAGCGAAAGCUGUGCUAAUACCGCAUACGCCCUGAGGGGGAAAGCGGGGGAGCGCAAGACCUGGAGCGAUUAGAGCGGCCGAUGCCUGUUUAGCUUGUUGGUGGGGUAAAAGCCCACCAAGGCGACGAUCAGUAGCUGGUCUGAGAGGACGAUCAGCCACACUGGGACUGAGACACGGCCCAGACUCCUACGGGAGGCAGCAGUGGGGAAUUUUGGACAAUGGGGGCAACCCUGAUCCAGCAAUGCCGCGUGAGUGAAGAAGGCCUUCGGGUUGUAAAGCUCUUUUGUCAGGGAAGAAACACCGGCUCUAACACAGUCCGGGAAUGACGGUACCUGAAGAAUAAGCACCGGCUAACUACGUGCCAGCAGCCGCAGUAA
This 501-nucleotide ribosomal RNA is filed under the name uncultured bacterium. RNAcentral's name for it is "partial 16S ribosomal RNA". It matches the Rfam family "Bacterial small subunit ribosomal RNA", at positions 29 to 523 of the family's 1533-position model. The record is from RNAcentral.